This 376-nucleotide unclassified non-coding RNA is filed under the name uncultured bacterium. Its description in RNAcentral is "contains 16S-23S intergenic spacer region". The record is from RNAcentral.
UCCCCGUUCACCGGGGCAGUCCCCUCAGAGUGCCCGGCAUUACCCGGUAGCAACAAAGGGCGAGGGUUGCGCUCGUUGCGGGACUUAACCCAACAUCUCACGACACGAGCUGACGACAGCCAUGCAGCACCUGUGCACAGGCCCCGAAAGGAGGGCGACUUUCAUCACCUGUCCUGUGCAUGUCAAACCCAGGUAAGGUUCUUCGCGUUGCGUCGAAUUAAACCACAUGCUCCACCGCUUGUGCGGGCCCCCGUCAAUUCCUUUGAGUUUCAGCCUUGCGACUGUACUCCCCAGGCGGCAUAUUUAACGCGUUAGCUCCGGCACUCAGGAAUCGCUUCCCGAACACCCAGUCGACAUCGUUUAGGGCGUGGACUAC